Molecule: ribosomal RNA, 303 nt
Filed under: uncultured bacterium
Lineage: Bacteria
Description: partial 16S ribosomal RNA
Rfam family: Bacterial small subunit ribosomal RNA
Source: RNAcentral
AGCAGUAGCCACGGUAAUACGAAGGGUGCAAGCGUUAAUCGGAAUUACUGGGCGUAAAGCGUGCGUAGGCGGUGAGUUAAGUCUGCUGUGAAAUCCCCGGGCUCAACCUGGGAAUGGCAGUGGAUACUGGCUCGCUAGAGUGUGUCAGAGGAUGGUGGAAUUCCCGGUGUAGCGGUGAAAUGCGUAGAGAUCGGGAGGAACAUCAGUGGCGAAGGCGGCCAUCUGGGACAACACUGACGCUGAGGCACGAAAGCGUGGGGAGCAACCAGGAUUAGAUACCCCGGUAGUCCCUGUCUCUUAUAA